Molecule: long non-coding RNA, 694 nt
Organism: Gambusia affinis (western mosquitofish)
Lineage: Eukaryota; Metazoa; Chordata; Actinopteri; Cyprinodontiformes; Poeciliidae
Exons: 3
Source: RefSeq, a predicted model, not a curated record
ACAGGAUUUAAGAGAUGGACCAACUCACACCUGAGGGAAGAAAACACAACAGUGCUGGUCAAAGCGACAAUAGACUGCUUGAGCAUGGACACAAGAGCAGUUAUGGAUCCAAGCAGAUGGCUGAAGCUUCCAGUCAUGUGAUAUAAUGAGCGAAGGUUGCAGACAGAGAUCCCAGAAGGAGGAGAUGGUGAUGCAUUUUAAAUGUGUCAUGGUGGGAGAGACAAUCGACUUACUGGUCUUUGAAUUGAGAAGGAAAAACACCAAAGGCACACAGAGAAGAAAUGCUGUCUCCUUCUUCUCGUCUUCCUGUCACUACGGACAAGACUUGGCCUGCAUAUUAAGACCAGAGCUGUCCGAUACACUGGCUUUUCGGGUUCUUAUCAGUGUACCAGUGGCAGACCCUUUGCUUGUCAGUGUCAGCCUUUUUAUAUUUAAUCUGCCCUUAUGGCAGCAUCCAAGGCAGUCUGGACAUAAAUUUAUGGACUCACUGGCUCAGUUUUUGUUGUAUGUCUGACACUCCUUUGCUGGCACUUUUGCUAAUACUGUCAGUUAAACAGGGAUGAAUGAAAAUAAACUUUGAGUCUCCUGGUUAAGGAGAAUUUACUUUAAAAAUUUAUUAUUCUCAAGGCAGUUAAAUGAUUUAGAGGAGUUGAGCUGGCUUAAUUGGUUAAUUGGGCUGUUUUGAAGUGAGAUU